RNAcentral lists this small nuclear RNA (24 nucleotides) under Arabidopsis thaliana (thale cress). RNAcentral describes it as "snRNA_07221". The record is from RNAcentral. Lineage: Eukaryota; Viridiplantae; Streptophyta; Magnoliopsida; Brassicales; Brassicaceae.
GCUCGCUCUGAACUUUUUCAGAUU